RNAcentral lists this ribosomal RNA (292 nucleotides) under uncultured bacterium. RNAcentral's name for it is "partial 16S ribosomal RNA". It matches the Rfam family "Bacterial small subunit ribosomal RNA", at positions 505 to 796 of the family's 1533-position model. The record is from RNAcentral.
GUGUCAGCAGCCGCGGUAAGACAGAGGUGGCGACCGUUGUUCGGAAUCACUGGGCAUAAAGCGCGUGUAGGCGGCAUCGUAAGUCGGGUGUGAAAUCCCUCGGCCCAACCGAGGAAUUGCGCCCGAAACUACCUUGCUUGAGGACCAGAGGGGAGCCUGGAAUUCCUGGUGGAGCGGUGAAAUGCGUUGAUAUCAGGAGGAACACCGGCGGCGAAGGCGAGGCUCUGGCUGGUUACUGACGCUGAGACGCGAAAGCUAGGGGAGCAAACGGGAUUAGAUACCCCCGUAGUCC